GAUGGUUCUUAAGUGAUGCGUCCUGGAAUCGGGCUCCCUCCUCUCUGGUUCCAGAUGCGUCGCCCAAGAACCGCA
This is a non-coding RNA of Myotis lucifugus (little brown bat), 75 nucleotides long. Lineage: Eukaryota; Metazoa; Chordata; Mammalia; Chiroptera; Vespertilionidae. The record is from Rfam.